AAGAGGAACUUUGAAAACUAUACAAAUACAUGGAAAUUAAACAAUAUGCUCCUGAUUGUCCAAUGUGCAAAUAAAGAAAUUAAGAGUAAAAUUUAGAGGUGUAUUAAAACAAUGAAAAUGGAAGAACAACAUACCAAAACCUAUGGGAUAUGGAAAAAGCAGUAUUAAGAGAAAAGUUUAUAGAAAUAAGCACCUACAUCAAUAUCCUAUGUGAUAAGUUGACGAAAUAUGUCAAUGUUCUAGGACUCUGCUUAGCUCUUUACCACUUAUUUCAUAGAAAGUGUGCUAUAGGGAAGCAGUUCUUUUUAACAAAUGUUUACAAGAUCUGGAACUACUUUGCCAGUUAGAGUGACUGAAAAUAAGAGUAGACAUAGUUAAAAAGCUGAAAGAGAGAAUUUUACUAAGAACCUUCAGGAAGUUGAUAUCAUUACUUUUUGUGUUUUUUUGCUAGUAGUUGAAACAAGGGGACAAAUAUGACAAAUCACACACUAAGCCACCUACAUGUCCGAAGCCCUAGGCAGUGUCCUUCAAGCCCUUAUAUGAUAUAGGCCUGUUCACACCCACUCAAUUAACUCUCUUAUCUCGCCCCUAUUUCUCUCCCCUUUGCACACUCUAUCCUCACUGCUUUUCUAAAAUGCCAAUACAUGUUUUCCUAAGCACUGGCUGGUCAGUUUGCUUAGUAUCUCCUCUCUCAGUAUCUACUGUUUGCCUAGUG
This 715-nucleotide long non-coding RNA is filed under the name Pan troglodytes (chimpanzee). RNAcentral describes it as "long non-coding RNA NONPTRT015172". Lineage: Eukaryota; Metazoa; Chordata; Mammalia; Primates; Hominidae. The record is from RNAcentral.